This 253-nucleotide ribosomal RNA is filed under the name uncultured bacterium. Its description in RNAcentral is "partial 16S ribosomal RNA". It matches the Rfam family "Bacterial small subunit ribosomal RNA", at positions 524 to 776 of the family's 1533-position model. The record is from RNAcentral.
UACGAAGGGUGCAAGCGUUGCUCGGAAUUACUGGGCGUAAAGCGUGCGUAGGCGGUUUGUUAAGUCUGAUGUGAAAGCCCUGGGCUCAACCUGGGAAUUGCAUUGGAUACUGGCAGGCUAGAGUGCGGUAGAGGGUAGUGGAAUUCCCGGUGUAGCGGUGAAAUGCGUAGAGAUCGGGAGGAACACCAGUGGCGAAGGCGGCUACCUGGAUCGGCACUGACGCUGAGGCACGAAAGCGUGGGGAGCAAACAGG